AAUGUUGAUAAUGUAUGUACCUUAACACUUAUUAGCUUAUAAAUUAAAAUUUCUACAAAAUUACUCUUUUAAUUUAACAAGUUAUAUGUUAUUUUACCAUGCAACUUCCGUUUUGAUCAAUUAUCUAUUUUCAUUACGUUACGAGAAAUAUCUAUGUGUAUAAAUUAUUACAUGCAAGCAGAAACAUAAUAAUAAAGAAUAUGGGAUCUCAUGAAAAAUAAAAACAUUUCCGCAAAUAUGUGCCAACCUUGUAAGAGAUCGCUAGGCGGACGGGAGGCAUCCAUAAGACCAGGAAUCAGCGGAGACUCAGAAUUCCUAGAUGGAGGGCCUGUCUCAACAGGCACACACCAUAGUAGAAUGAAAAUUUACCUGAAGAAUAAGAACUGGAGGGAAGGUCGGUAGCUGGUGUUUGUGUAUUGACACUGCGAGUAGCCCUCAGUAGGUCCGCUAAUGGUGCUCGAUGCCCUUCUGGUGUUAUUUGUUCGCGAU
Molecule: non-coding RNA, 489 nt
Organism: Osmia lignaria (orchard mason bee)
Lineage: Eukaryota; Metazoa; Arthropoda; Insecta; Hymenoptera; Megachilidae
Source: RefSeq, a predicted model, not a curated record